GGUUUCAUAGAAUAGUGGUUAGCAUGUCUGCUUUACAUGCUGAAGGUCCUGGGUUCAAGCCCCAGCAGAGCCA
Molecule: non-coding RNA, 73 nt
Organism: Pteropus alecto (black flying fox)
Lineage: Eukaryota; Metazoa; Chordata; Mammalia; Chiroptera; Pteropodidae
Source: Rfam